RNAcentral lists this ribosomal RNA (479 nucleotides) under uncultured Saprospiraceae bacterium. Its description in RNAcentral is "bacterial SSU rRNA". It matches the Rfam family "Bacterial small subunit ribosomal RNA", at positions 28 to 505 of the family's 1533-position model. Lineage: Bacteria; Pseudomonadati; Bacteroidota; Saprospiria; Saprospirales; Saprospiraceae. The record is from RNAcentral.
GAUGAACGCUAGCGGGAGGCUUAAUACAUGCAAGUCGAACGGUAAGGUCUAGCUUGCUAGAUACACGAGUGGCGCACGGGUGAGUAACGCGUACACAAUCUACCCUUGAUUAAGGAAUAGCCCUGGGAAACUGGGAAUAAUACCUUAUAGUAUUGCUUGUUAUAAAGGUGAGUAAUUAAAGCUCCGGCGAUCAAGGAUGAGUGUGCGUCCCAUUAGCUAGUUGGUACGGUAACGGCGUACCAAGGCGACGAUGGGUAGGGGGCGUGAGAGCGUGAUCCCCCACACGGGUACUGAGACACGGACCCGACUCCUACGGGAGGCAGCAGUAAGGAAUAUUGGACAAUGGGCGAAAGCCUGAUCCAGCCAUCCCGCGUGCAGGAUGACGGCCCUAUGGGUUGUAAACUGCUUUUAGAUAGGAAGAAACCCCGAGAUUUAUCUUGGGCUGACGGUACUAUCAGAAUAAGCACCGGCUAACUCCG